GACGAACGCUGGCGGCGUGCUUAACACAUGCAAGUCGAACGGAAAGGCCCUGCGUUUGUGGGGUGCUCGAGUGGCGAACGGGUGAGUAACACGUGAGUAACCUGCCCUUGACUUUGGGAUAACUUCAGGAAACUGGGGCUAAUACCGGAUAGGAGCUCCUGCUGCAUGGUGGGGGUUGGAAAGUUUCGGCGGUUGGGGAUGGACUCGCGGCUUAUCAGCUUGUUGGUGGGGUAGUGGCUUACCAAGGCUUUGACGGGUAGCCGGCCUGAGAGGGUGACCGGCCACAUUAGGACUGAGAUACGGCCCAGAAUCCUACGGGAGGCAGCAGUGGAGAGUAUUGCACAGUGGGCGGAAGCCUGAUGCAGCAACGCCGCGUGCGGGAUGACGGCCUUCGGGUUGUAAACCGCUUUCGACUGUGACGAAGCGUGAGUGACGGUAAUGGGUAAAGAAGCACCGGCUAACUACGUG
This 468-nucleotide ribosomal RNA is filed under the name uncultured bacterium. RNAcentral describes it as "partial 16S ribosomal RNA". It matches the Rfam family "Bacterial small subunit ribosomal RNA", at positions 28 to 507 of the family's 1533-position model. The record is from RNAcentral.